This 97-nucleotide signal recognition particle RNA is filed under the name Pseudoalteromonas tunicata. RNAcentral's name for it is "signal recognition particle sRNA small type". It matches the Rfam family "Bacterial small signal recognition particle RNA". Rfam says of the family: The signal recognition particle (SRP) is a universally conserved ribonucleoprotein involved in the co-translational targeting of proteins to membranes. Archaeal SRP consists of a 7S RNA and homologues of the eukaryotic SRP19 and SRP54 proteins. The record is from RNAcentral. Lineage: Bacteria; Pseudomonadati; Pseudomonadota; Gammaproteobacteria; Alteromonadales; Pseudoalteromonadaceae.
UAUUGGUCCUCUCGCAACAAUAGCAGGUGAACUUGGUCAGGCCCGGAAGGGAGCAGCCACAGCGUGUGACUUGUGUGCCGGGAUGCGGCUGGUAGGA